GUCGGCGCGAAGGUGGCGAUGGAGGGGAGCAGCGCGCCGCUCAGCGCCAUGUCGCACUCGCCGAGGGGUUGCCUGCGGGCGGACACGGAGCCAGUUCCCUGCCGCCUGCCAGGGCCUCGCUGCUCUCGCUGACAGGGAUCACAGCUCCGUCACCGAUCUCCCUCGGCCAGUGCUUGGCACCGCUCUGCGGCAUCGCAGAGUGACUGGACCGCCCUGCCUGCAGGCUCAGGACCACAGUUCGGCGUCAGUUCAUGUCUGGAAGGUUAACUCCAGAGACUGAAAAUUGCAGGCGUGGUAGAAAUCAAAGACACAUGUCUUUGUCCUCACCAGGGUCGAUAACCUGCUCUUCCACAUGGGCUUCUGCGUGUUCAGUCGUGACACUGCCUGUUUCUGCACUGGUGCCCGCACAGAUGUCCUGCUCCUACCGCUGCUGCACAGUCAACAACCUCGAGUGCAUCGAGCAUGCCAUUAUGGCACUACUGGCGUACCUUGGUUUUGCAUGGGUCUUUUUCUCUUUUACAGAGGAAAGCUAUUAUCUAGACGCUAAGUGAAAAGUGACUAGUACAUAACUGCAGGGAAAUACUGUAAUAUAGUCAAAACCUUUGGAUAUGGAAGUGGUAGGAGAGUCGACUUUUUGUCCUCAAAAUUCUUCCUGCUCUGUUCCCUCCCAACAAACCGGCACAAGAAUCAAAGAGCAGGCUUGGGAAGUAGCACGCAAAAGCUGUUCCAUGCACAAAUAUAUAGAUUCAUAGAUUCAUAGAUGUUAGGGUCGGAAGCGACCUCAGUAGAUCAUCGAGUCCGACCCCCUGCAUAAGCAGGAAAGAGUGCUGGGUCUAGAUGACCCCAGCUAGAUACUCAUCUAACCUCCUCUUGAAGACCCCCAGGGUAGGGGAGAGCACCACCUCCCUUGGGAGCCCGUUCCAGACCUUGGCCACUCGAACUGUGAAGAAGUUCUUCCUAAUGUCCAAUCUAAAUCUGCUCUCUGCUAGCUUGUGGCCAUUGUUUCUUGUAACCCCCAUGGCCCAGUGUUUUUAUUUGCUUUGGCAUUUUACAGCUGGCAACAGUUGCUCUGGGCAUAUCUUUGAUUUCAGGAGACAUUUUAUCAGAAAUGAGACCAGAAAUGCUGUGCUGUAAAAUUCCAGGGGUUCCAGCUUCAUUCUGACCUGUUCUUCUCUCUGUGGCAUGAGAUUACGUAACUCUCAUUAAUUGCUUUGUCUGUUAAUUUAAAGUGCCAGGAAAUAAUUUGGCUACUUUUAUGUCAAGUAAUUACAAAAAAAGUAAUGCCUUAUAAAAUAUUGGUGAUUGGCAGCAGUAGUCUUGGAAAGUAGUCUUGCUGAGAUUUUCAAAAGGAUCAAAGUGGUACAGGAAUGUAAGUCUUCUGAUUUCAGUGGGAUCUGUUCUCCAAAAUUGCUUAUGUGCCAGGUGAAAUUUUUAAAGCUCUUUAAAAUUAUGCUUGACGCUUGGGUGACCCUGGUUAUGUACUUCUAAAAUGGGACCGGGACUUUCCAAAAGCACAUGCCAGAAGGCAAACCUAGAGUGUGCUAUAGUGUGGCUAGUGAUGACUUAGGUAGUUUCAAGAUACCCAUAUUUUUGUGCAGCAUGUAACUAAUUUUUUUCCCUAAAAGCUGUGCCCUACUGGCAGACUUUUCUCUUACCUUUUGUAAGUAUGAUUCUUAGAUAAACCGAAGUUACCGCUUCUAGCAGUGCCUUACCAAGUUGCUCUGCUGUUUGCGUUGCAGAGGGAAAUCUUGUUCUCAGACACAGAUUCUUGAAAUGAUGAGGGUUUGUCAAUCUUGUAAAUCAUCUUCUUUCAAGGUUGGCCAGAUAUUCAAACAAGGUUAUGAACCUCCCUAUUUGUACAGUCAUUAUUCCAAAACAGGUCGAUCCAGCAGAGUUAAGUCCCUGCCCUGUAUAAUUUAUAAACAUGAGUCUGAGUAACCUCUGAUGACUAAAUUAAAUUCUAAAAUAAUAAUAAAAUGCUCAGCCUUUAUUUUAACAAACUGGUAUUGCCAGUUUCAUAGUAUAUACGUUAAUUAUUAAUAUCUUUGGCGCUAGAAAAUGGAUUUUCUCUGCACAAAGUCCGUUUCUUGGCAUAGGAUGUGUUUGGGAACCAUCAAUAUGAAAAGGAUUAAUGUGGAGACAUGAAAGGUAGUAAAACAUUAAGGAGGUUGUCUAAAUAUUUUAUAUGGAGAGACCUAUAGGUGCAUCUCUAUCAUAGCAAGUUUUUUUUGCUGGUUUGUUGCCCUACACCUCAUUUACAAUGCUUUCUUUAAAUUACUUUGUUUAGGCCAUGAGCUCUCCCUUAUUUUGUUUCUCUUCAGCACUGAAGUUUCUCUCAGACAAGAUACGAUAUAAUUAAUAUGCUAACUGAGAGGGAUCACGUUAGGUUCCUCUCCCUGUUUAAAACAAUUAUAGAAAACACUUCUCUCCCUUCUAUCUCAAUCUGUAGGAAAAUUAAUGAAAGGAAACAUAAAUUGUUUCCAGGCCUCUCUCUCUAUUUUUCCCUGUAAAAGGGAUGAAAUACUUAUUUGUCUUCUUGUGUAUUUGUCAAAUACUUCUUUGUCUUUUUUUCCCUAUUUAUGUACAUGCACAUUUGUUUAUAUUUCUAAACCAAAUAGUACAUGUUAGUACUUAAAUAUAAUUUGAUAUUGGAAGUGACUCUAGGCAAAAAUUAAAAUUGAAUUCCUUCUUAAAACUACAAGAUUAAGAAACUUCAAGCACAGAUGAAUGAUCUGAUCCCUUUGAACUGGAAAGGACAAUUCCCCUAAUUUCCGGAUGACAAGAAUAAUAGUUUGAAAUAAUAUAGGUUCUUCUGCUGCUUUCAUGGAUAUACGAUUUGUUGCAUUGCUGCUUGGUAACUCAGAGCAUCGUAAACACGAACACUGAAGGUUCACUGUCAACUGAAAUUUGCUCCAAAAGUUAAAUUUUGUAAAAGUGAGUUUUUGGAAGUACUCGUUCCUGGCAUUGAGCUCAAUGGAGAAGAAUCAGAUUACUGCUGAGUCCUCUUGAGAAUCCCACCCCCAAAACCAAGCGCCAGGUUUUUACAAAUUGAACAAAACCAGUCAAAAAAACAAACAGGUUUAUUAUUUCUUUUAAGAACACCUCCCUGCUUCAGUAUUUGCAAUCCAAAGUUUGAGAACUUGAAUAUAAACAAAAGCGAAAAGUAUUUCAUUUCCUAAAAUGAGAGAAAUGCAAAAAUUAAACAAAUUUACUGCUAGAUUUUUUCAUUUCUAAUAUUAUCUAAAUUGUCCUUUGUAAUAUAGGCCUAUCAUUUUUGCAAUCCAGUCUUAGGUUAUUAUGUCUGCUCAGGCCAUCCUAGCCCAUUCUAAAACUUUCCUUCCACUAUUCAGCGUGUCCGAGCACAGGAUGCUUCUGUACAGCUCAAAUUUGACUUUGGGGUUGCUUAAUUCACAUAAAGCAUUGCAAAGAAUUUGUGCUUCUGGUGCAUCUGGACAUGUCAUGGCAUCUUCCCAGGUUCUCCUGUGUCUGCUUAGACUCAUGCUCUACCACUAACAGUGUGGCAACAUUGUUGAGGCAGUACAUUUAUUCCUUUGGAAAAGAGAUGAAAUGCCUUCAGUCAUUCGCUCUGUGAUUAUGUGCUAAGUUAUUUCAAGACCAACAUUGGUUUGGCUCCGAAGUGAGAGUCUUUCACCCAUUUUAGGCUUAAUCUACUCUCAAAAAAUUACCCAUUGCUGACAACUGGUAUCAACAGUGCAUUCAUCAGAAUCUCACUAGCAUGUUUUGACAGCAGGUGUGGAGCUGGAUAGAACACCUUUCAGAAAAUGGGGAACCAUAGGAUGUGGUUUAUCCCAGUCUUCACUUGCAUUUAAACCAGGUUAACCUGAACUGGCGCUGAAUUCCCUUGUCAGCGAUGGUUAGUUUUUCUAGUGGAGAUCGGGCAUUUAGUUUGUGAGGAAAGGCAAAACCCUGCAAAUUUAGACCAGGAAAGAGGAUGGGGAAAAUGAAAAAGUGCAGGUAUGGGAAGGAGGGUUUCACUGGAAAGAGAUCAAGGUAUGUAUACUUCGGUAAAAAAAAAAAGUAAAGUAUACUUCGGUAAAAAAAAAAAGAUCUAUGUCAUUUGAGUGUGAAGCAAAGAUUAACCCAUUUAUCUUGAUGCAUUUGUUUUAAAUGACUUUUUAAAAUGGUUUCUCAAACUGUUGCCUCUCUGGAGCCAUAAUGUGAUUUAUCUUCCUUAAUUUAAUUGUCUUGGAUAGCAACUGCAAAAAUUAGGCACUGCAGACAUUAAGAUAGAUUACAUGGAGGGGCUGUUGAGGUAACUCACCAGGAUGCAUUUCUAGCUUCUUUGGGUUUGUGCUCUAGAGUGCUUGGGGCUGGACCACUGCUUUGUUUUACAAUGCCUGAAAUAAUGAAGCCUUAAUCCCUGAAUGGGACAAAUAUUAAUGGGUUAAGAACAGGGAGGAAAUUCUUGGUAGGUCCAAUCUUGCUGUAAUUUAAAUUAAUGACAAAAAAAAUCCAUAGAUUUAAGCCAUGUAAGAUCUUGCCUGUAAGGAGGCAGCUGGGGGAGAAGGGCAGCUGUACUAGGUUUACAGGGCAGUUGAUAUGUGGGCCUUAAGAAACCCUGCAGAACCCAAAUUAAGUGACAUUCACUGAAGGCAAGACCUAGAGGGAAGGUCUGAGAAGCAACUAACAGCUGGAAAGUUUGGAUACACGAGACGCACACAGUAUGAGGAAAUGCAGGGAUGAGGAUUUAUUCUCUCCUGCCUCCCUUCCAAGGCAUUAUGAGGUGGAUGAGAAGAUUGCUACAAUCUUGAAUGCAAAAUUGGCCUAUGAGCUAGUGCCUGGGGAAAUCUGAAAUGUGAUGGAUCUGUUGCUGAGUUUAUGUUAACUGAAUAUUUUCUUUUUCCUCUCUUUAUAAAGUGCAGCUGAAUUUUGUUUAUCAUUGCUUUUUCUUCUGUGAGUGUGGCUUUUCCAUAUAAAUAAAGUCCCACUUUGUUUUUA
Alligator mississippiensis (American alligator) is the source of this 4959-nucleotide long non-coding RNA. RefSeq lists it as uncharacterized. The transcript has 2 exons. Lineage: Eukaryota; Metazoa; Chordata; Crocodylia; Alligatoridae. The record is from RefSeq and is a predicted model, not a curated record.